Chinchilla lanigera (long-tailed chinchilla) is the source of this 107-nucleotide small nuclear RNA. The record is from Ensembl. NCBI's taxonomy places the organism in Eukaryota, Metazoa, Chordata, Mammalia, Rodentia, Chinchillidae.
GUACUCACUUAGGCAGCACUUAUACUAAAAUUGGAACGAUACAGAGAAGAUUAGCAUGGCCCCUGCACAAGGAUGCCACACAAAUUCCUGAAGUGUUCCAUAUUUUU